GACAGAGGGGGCGAGCGUUGUCCGGAGUCACUGGGCGUAAAGGGUGCGCAGGCGGCCGCGUGUGUGGAAUGUUAAAGCCCGAGGCUCAACCUCGGUGAUGCGUUUCAAACUACGUGGCUAGAGUGUGGGAGAGGGGAAUGGAAUUCACGGUGUAGCAGUGAAAUGCGUAGAUAUCGUGAGGAACACCAGCGGCGAAGGCGAUUCCCUGGACCAUUACUGACGCUCAGGCACGAAAGCGUGGGGAUCAAAAGGG
This 253-nucleotide ribosomal RNA is filed under the name uncultured bacterium. RNAcentral describes it as "partial 16S ribosomal RNA". It matches the Rfam family "Bacterial small subunit ribosomal RNA", at positions 524 to 776 of the family's 1533-position model. The record is from RNAcentral.